GUCUGGAACCUUGCUGAGAGGCGAGGUGCCUCGGGAGCCAAGACACAGGUGCUGCAUGGCUGUCGUCAGCUCGUGUCGUGAGAUGUUGGGUUAAGUCCCGCAACGAGCGCAACCCUUGUCAUUAGUUGCCAUCAUUUAGUUGGGCACUCUAGCCAGACUGCCGGUGAUAAAUCGGAGGAAGGUGGGGACGACGUCAAAUCAUCAUGCCCUUUAUGUCCUGGGCUACACACGUACUACAAUGGCCGUUACAACGGGAAGCGAAGGAGCAAUCCGGAGCAAAUCCCUUAAAGGCGGUCCCAGUUCAGAUUGUGGGCUGAAACUCGCCCACAUGAAGGCGGAAUUGCUAGUAAUUGCAGAUCAGCAUGCUGCAGUGAAUACGUUCCCGGGCCUU
RNAcentral lists this ribosomal RNA (391 nucleotides) under uncultured Oscillospiraceae bacterium. RNAcentral's name for it is "bacterial SSU rRNA". It matches the Rfam family "Bacterial small subunit ribosomal RNA", at positions 988 to 1382 of the family's 1533-position model. The record is from RNAcentral. Lineage: Bacteria; Bacillati; Bacillota; Clostridia; Eubacteriales; Oscillospiraceae.